CGAGCCGGGCGGACGGCCGCGUGAAGUCCCCUCUUGGAGGGCUUCCCGAGGAACGUCCGGGCUCCACAGGGCAGGGUGAUGGCUAACGGCCACCCGGGGUGACCCGCGGGAAAGUGCCACAGAAAACAAACCGCCGGGGACUUCGGUCCUCGGUAAGGGUGAAACGGCGGUGUAAGAGACCACCAGUGCCCAGGGCGACCUGGGCAGCUAGGUAAACCCCACCCGGAGCAAGGUCAAAAGGAAACACCCCGGUGUUUCUGCGGGGACGCUCGAGGGCUGCCCGCCCGAGUCCCCGGGUAGACCGCACGAGACCGGCGGCAACGCCGGUCCUAGAUGGAUGGCCGUCUCCCCGACCGCCGCGAGGGGGUCGGGUGACAGAACCCGGCGUACAGCCCGACUCGUCUG
Non-coding RNA from Streptomyces sviceus ATCC 29083, 405 nucleotides. NCBI's taxonomy places the organism in Bacteria, Bacillati, Actinomycetota, Actinomycetes, Kitasatosporales, Streptomycetaceae. The record is from Rfam.